GAUGAACGCUGGCGGCGUGCCUAAUACAUGCAAGUCGAGCGAACAGACGAGGAGCUUGCUCCUCUGACGUUAGCGGCGGACGGGUGAGUAACACGUGGAUAACCUACCUAUAAGACUGGGAUAACUUCGGGGAACCGGAGCUAAUACCGGAUAAUAUAUUGAACCGCAUGGUUCAAUAGUGAAAGACGGUUUUGCUGUCACUUAUAGAUGGAUCCGCGCCGCAUUAGCUAGUUGGUAAGGUAACGGCUUACCAAGGCAACGAUGCGUAGCCGACCUGAGAGGGAGAUCGGCCACACUGGCACUGAGACACGGUCCAGACUCCUACGGGGGGCAGCAGUAGGGAAUCUUCCGCAAUGGGCGAAAGCGUGACGGAGCAAAGCCGCGUGAGUGAUGAAGGUCUUCGGAUCGUAAAACUCUGUUAUUAGGGAAGAACAAAUGUGUAAGUAACUAUGCACGUCUUGACGGUACCUAAUCAGAAAGCCACGGCUAACUACGUG
RNAcentral lists this ribosomal RNA (497 nucleotides) under uncultured bacterium. Its description in RNAcentral is "partial 16S ribosomal RNA". It matches the Rfam family "Bacterial small subunit ribosomal RNA", at positions 28 to 507 of the family's 1533-position model. The record is from RNAcentral.